AUGCUGGAGGUAUCAGAAGUGCGAAUGCUGACAUAAGUAACGAUAAAGCGGGUGAAAAGCCCGCUCGCCGGAAGACCAAGGGUUCCUGUCCAACGUUAAUCGGGGCAGGGUGAGUCGACCCCUAAGGCGAGGCCGAAAGGCGUAGUCGAUGGGAAACAGGUUAAUAUUCCUGUACUUGGUGUUACUGCGAAGGGGGGACGGAGAAGGCUAUGUUGGCCGGGCGACGGUUGUCCCGGUUUAAGCGUGUAGGCUGGUUUUCCAGGCAAAUCCGGAAAAUCAAGGCUGAGGCGUGAUGACGAGGCACUACGGUGCUGAAGCAACAAAUGCCCUGCUUCCAGGAAAAGCCUCUAAGCAUCAGGUAACAUCAAAUCGUACCCCAAACCGACACAGGUGGUCAGGUAGAGAAUACCAAGGCGCUUGAGAGAACUCGGGUGAAGGAACUAGGCAAAAUGGUGCCGUAACUUCGGGAGAAGGCACGCUGAUACGUAGGUGAAGUCCCUUGCGGAUGGAGCUGAAAUCAGUCGAAGAUACCAGCUGGCUGCAACUGUUUAUUAAAAACACAGCACUGUGCAAACACGAAAGUGGACGUAUACGGUGUGACGCCUGCCCGGUGCCGGAAGGUUAAUUGAUGGGGUUAGCGGUAACGCGAAGCUCUUGAUCGAAGCCCCGGUAAACGGCGGCCGUAACUAUAACGGUCCUAAGGUAGCGAAAUUCCUUGUCGGGUAAGUUCCGACCUGCACGAAUGGCGUAAUGAUGGCCAGGCUGUCUCCACCCGAGACUCAGUGAAAUUGAACUCGCUGUGAAGAUGCAGUGUACCCGCGGCAAGACGGAAAGACCCCGUGAACCUUUACUAUAGCUUGACACUGAACAUUGAGCCUUGAUGUGUAGGAUAGGUGGGAGGCUUUGAAGUGUGGACGCCAGUCUGCAUGGAGCCGACCUUGAAAUACCACCCUUUAAUGUUUGAUGUUCUAACGUUGGCCCCUAAUCGGGGUUGCGGACAGUGUCUGGUGGGUAGUUUGACUGGGGCGGUCUCCUCCUAAAGAGUAACGGAGGAGCACGAAGGUUGGCUAAUCCUGGUCGGACAUCAGGAGGUUAGUGCAAUGGCAUAAGCCAGCUUGACUGCGAGCGUGACGGCGCGAGCAGGUGCGAAAGCAGGUCAUAGUGAUCCGGUGGUUCUGAAUGGAAGGGCCAUCGCUCAACGGAUAAAAGGUACUCCGGGGAUAACAGGCUGAUACCGCCCAAGAGUUCAUAUCGACGGCGGUGUUUGGCACCUCGAUGUCGGCUCAUCACAUCCUGGGGCUGAAGUAGGUCCCAAGGGUAUGGCUGUUCGCCAUUUAAAGUGGUACGCGAGCUGGGUUUAGAACGUCGUGAGACAGUUCGGUCCCUAUCUGCCGUGGGCGCUGGAGAACUGAGGGGGGCUGCUCCUAGUACGAGAGGACCGGAGUGGACGCAUCACUGGUGUUCGGGUUGUCAUGCCAAUGGCACUGCCCGGUAGCUAAAUGCGGAAGAGAUAAGUGCUGAAAGCAUCUAAGCACGAAACUUGCCCCGAGAUGAGUUCUCCCUGACUCCUUGA
Molecule: ribosomal RNA, 1573 nt
Filed under: Escherichia coli
Lineage: Bacteria; Pseudomonadati; Pseudomonadota; Gammaproteobacteria; Enterobacterales; Enterobacteriaceae
Description: bacterial LSU rRNA
Rfam family: Bacterial large subunit ribosomal RNA
Source: RNAcentral